UGCGUGUGCGAACCGUGCGUGUGGAUUGCUUGUGGAGACUGGAUGUUCGAACUACUGGGCGUGCAGACUGUGUAUGCCGACCGCGUGUGCGAACCGGGGUGGUGGGAUACAUGAACCACUGCAGUCUCCAGUGAAGCGAGCGACAGAAUUCGAGGGCGGGGUGAUGAGAUGUCGUUCUUGGCCCCGUUUUAAAGGCACACGUUCUUCCGGGGCUAACUUCACUUUACCAAAGCCCCAUCCGUAUCAGAAACGGAAAGCCUGAGGGUGGAGGUGAGAGACCGGGAAUACUGAUGGUGUCUGACAUCGUACAACGCAGACAGUUAUAUUGAAAGUAUACAGCACAGAGACGGAAGGUAUCCGUCUCAUUUUACAACACGGAGAAUCGACAUACUGAAGGUCACUGUUCUGGGUUGAGUGAAGUUGCAGCCAGACAGCAUACACGUGGGUCAUAUAGUCUCUGCUUCAAUCCUCAUGGUGGUAGGACAGAGGUUGUCAAGCGUUGGUGAGGAUGUUGCAUUUCCAUAGAGAACAUCCUGAAUCUUCUCUUCUGUCCACCCAGUAAUCUUACCCCCGACCAAGUUCAGAGCCAAGUGGGAACUCAGCAGGUCAGGCAACAAGUCUCAGUACAGCGUCUACCUCGGGAAUCUUCACUGAUGAGUGAUGCAGUUGAUGUGUUGCCCUGGAAGAAGGUGGUGACGUUGGCUCGCACUCUGACAUGAAUCAGGUGGAUUUUGUGCCCAUAAUGUUGUUGGAGUCUCACUAGUACAUUGAGCUGUCACUGCUAGUCCGGAUCUCCAGUGCACAUAGGAGGAGCAGGGAUCAGUGCUGCCUGAUAGCCUAGGAUGUUGUGCUUGGA
This is a long non-coding RNA of Mobula hypostoma (lesser devil ray), 856 nucleotides long. RefSeq lists it as uncharacterized. The transcript is spliced from 4 exons. The record is from RefSeq and is a predicted model, not a curated record. NCBI's taxonomy places the organism in Eukaryota, Metazoa, Chordata, Chondrichthyes, Myliobatiformes, Myliobatidae.